RNAcentral lists this long non-coding RNA (322 nucleotides) under Mytilus galloprovincialis (Mediterranean mussel). The record is from RNAcentral. Lineage: Eukaryota; Metazoa; Mollusca; Bivalvia; Mytilida; Mytilidae.
AUAACCUCCUUAAGGAUGUUUGCUUGUCAUGUUUUGGAACUUUUGUCAGAUUUUCGAAAUCCUCUGGUUUUAUCAAUUUGAAUGCCUGAGAAAAUUUUGCCCAUGAACCCCCAUUUUUCUUUUUAUAAAUCUUUUACAUGUAUAAUUAUAAGCCAUUUGUAAAAGUCUUAUAAAAUCUUAUUUAUUUUUAAAUAGUUUCUGAGAACUUUAACUGGUCAAUGAUAAAGCUAUGAAAAAUCUAGAGAGAAUAUUUUCCCACCAAAAUUCCAAUGGCUAAUAUCUCGAAAACAGGCACAUUGACCCCUAUAUUUUUUUUGCUUUU